Molecule: long non-coding RNA, 7708 nt
Filed under: Triticum aestivum (bread wheat)
Lineage: Eukaryota; Viridiplantae; Streptophyta; Magnoliopsida; Poales; Poaceae
Description: long non-coding RNA (TAES_LNC027910)
Source: RNAcentral
GAUUCAGAUAAACUGGGAGUGGUGCAUGCCUUUGUAUUGUGUUCCUGAACCUUGCUUUCUCCAUGUCAGGUCUUCUGUUCUUAGAAAAAACUCUUUUGUUGCAUCCACAUUAACCAUAUAUAUUUCUAUUUCCAUUUUUGAAUUGUAAUAUGUAGCUCAGUUUGGUGUGUCAAUUUCAGCUAGACUAAAUCAACCAUUCGGUCCUUCGUAAGUCGACUUUUCGUGCGUGUGUGUGUGUGUGUGUGUGUGUAGGAGGUUUAGCAGGCCUGACUUAAGACCGAACCCUGACGGUGUUUAGGCAUGGUCCGGUAUGCACUUCUUCACUUCUCUUGAUUUAUGUUUUUGUUUCAGUUCAUAUUAAAUCAAUAGUGUUUGCAACUUUACAUACAGGUUGGAGAGCUUAUUUCCAGCGUUGGAGGUCUUUUCAGUUUUUCUAAAGGUACUAUUUUUGUCCAAUUCCCCAAACACUUUCCUCAUGUUUACUGAAGUGUUACCUAGCAAAAUUGUAUCAUUGAUCCAACACAAUGAUUAGAAUCCCAGUCGUUGAAUUACAGUAGACAAGACCAUAUUUCACAUUUUGUAUAGCCCAACCAAUAAUACAUAUGGACCGUGGUGAUGAUUUUCAAUAUAUUGUGUGCAAUAGUUAAAUAGAUGUAUUCGUGCCAUUUAUCUCAUUGAACUGUAAGAGCUGGUCAUGGUGGAAGAGUAAUCAGUGUUGUGUAGACAACAUCACUGUAAUUUUCUCAGCCAAAUAAAAGAUUAGCUUGCGGUCCAUGGAAAAACCCCAACAUUCAGUUGAGCUGUACAUCUUUUGCCGCCCCUUCUAUUGGUUCUGGUUGAGCUUUGUGUGUUAAUAUUUAUUUGACUGCAUUUUAUCCUUUAGUCCUUCCUCUUAGUGUAUAGUGAUCCCUUAUUGUGUUAGUUUCUUAACUAGAAGGGUAGUUUUGAUUCAGACCAUUCCAUAAUAAAAUGUGUAUAUAGCCUGAAGGUAGGAUUUCAGCUUCAGACUGUUAAAAUACGUCUAACGUGUCAUGUACACGUAUUAUGUAUGUAUGUAACUUGUAUGCUGAUCAUAUAUAUAUAGAAGGACGUGGAGAGGCAUUGCCCCACGAAAAACCCUAAACCUAUUCUCAAACUUGGUAUCAGAGCCUACCUAGCCGCCGCCGCCUCUCCUCCCUCCGCCGCCGCUAGCCUCUCAUCGCGGCCGCCGCGAUGUCCAAGUCGCCCGCCACCGAUCAGUCCUCCUCAUCGGGCGCUGCGAUGACCGCGUCCUCCGCCCUCGCCCUCACCGUGUCCGCCCCCGUUAUCGCGCCACCAUCGGCAUCGGCUCCCGCUCCUGUCCUUCCACCCAUCGCGGUCUCUCUCGACCGCAGUAACUUCAUGCUGUGGAGGGCUCUCGCCCUCCCCAACUUCGCCGGCGUACGCCUCCACGGGUUCCUCGAUGGCUCGGCCAAGGCGCCGGAGCCGACCGUGACGACAGGCACCGGUGACACGGCUCGUACCAUCACCAACCCUGAAUACGAGCAGUGGUGGACUCUUGAUCAAAAGGUCCUCGGGCAUCUCCUCGGCUCCAUGAGCGUGGAGAUAUCCGCGCAGCUGAUCGGCUGCAGGACGGCGGCUGCUGCAUGGGCUGCCGUGCACACCAUGUUCGCCGCCGAGAACAGCGCCGGCGUGCGCAACCUUCGGCGCCAGAUCCAGGCGCUACGCAAAGGAGAUAGACCUGCCGGCGAGUACAUGCAGAAGGUUAAAUCUCUCGCCGACUCGAUGGACGCCGCCGGUUCUCCUCUUCACGAUGACGAGAUCAUCGACUACAUGCUGACCGGGCUCGGCUCAGCGUUCAACCCCAUCGCUGCUUCGAUGAACUUCGCCGGCGUGCAAGUCACGUUUCUGGCGUUCUACUCCAGCGUCCUCCACUACGAGGCCCUCCAGCAGCAGCAAUCGGAAGUUGAGGACUGGCAGUCCUCCGCAAACGCCGCCUCCCGGCCGGCCUACCACGAUCACGCCGGUCGUGUGCCCGAUUCCGGACGCCCAAGUGGCGGCCGCUCCUCCGCCGCCUCUCUUCCGCCUGGAUCGGCAAGCUACGGCCCCGCCCAGGGCGGUGCCCCUGGCCAUAACAACGGCAACACCGGCGGCAACGGCCGCAAUGGAGGAGGCAAUGGGGGUGGCCGCCGUCGCUGGCGCCCUAGGUGCCCGAUAUGUAAGAACUGACCGCGACGGACUGUCGCAUGAGGCGACGGACUGUCGCGGCCGCUAUGACCGCGACCACCGCGCCUCCAACUCCGCCUCCACGCAUGAACCGCCGCACUGGAUCCUGGACACCGGUGCGACGGAUCACCUGACGAGUGAUCUUGACCGUCUUCACUUCCAUGAGCGCUACGGCGGGAAGGAUCAAGUGCAAGUGGUGAAUGGUGCAGGUUUGUCUAUUUCGCAUAUUGGUCAUUCCACUAUACCCGGUUCAUCUCUGCGUUUACGCAAUAUUCUUCGUCUUCCACAUAUACAUCAACAACUAUUGUCCGUUUAUCGACUUGUUCUUGAUAAUGAUGUUUUUGUAGAAUUUCACCGUUUCUUUUUCCUUGUUAAGGACAUAGCCACGAAGAAAAUUCUUCUUCGCGGUAGAAGUCGUGGCGGCCUCUACCCCAUCCCGUUUGGUCGCGCGUCGUCCUCCUCCACUCGCCAAGCGUCUCUCAGUGUCAAGACCACUUCGUCCCAGUGGCAUCAGCGUCUCGGUCAUCCCUCCAAUAAAAUUGUUCAAUACAUUGUUAAGAGCAAUGAUUUAGUGUGUUCUUCUGAACGUCAUUUUUCAGUGUGUGAUGGUUGUCAGCAUGCUAAGAGUCGACAAUUACCAUAUACUUUAUCCACUCAUGUUUCUACUAUGCCUCUUGAGUUAAUUCAUUCUGAUGUUUGGGGGCCUGCUCUUGCCUCUUCCGGAGGCUAUAAGUAUUAUGUGAGCUUUGUCGAUGAUUAUUCCUGUUUCACUUGGAUAUAUCUUCUUAAGCACAAGUCUGACGUUGAGCAAGUAUUUUAUGCUUUUCAGGCUCAUGUUGAGCGUCUUCUCCGCACUAAAAUCAUAUCCGUUCAGUCAGACUGGGGUGGUGAGUACCACAAAUUACAUCGCUAUUUCCAACGCACUAGGAUCUCUCAUCGUGUGUCCUGCCCACACACCUCUCAGCAAAACGGGAUUGCUGAACGCAAACACCGUCAUCUUGUGGAAAUAGGUCUGGCCUUAUUGGCUCAUUUGUCUCUCCCUUUACGGUAUUGGGACGAAGCUUUCCUUGCUGCAUGUUACUUGAUUAAUCGCAUGCCUACACCUGUUCUCCAACAAGAUACACCCGUGUACCGCCUUCUUAAAGUCAAACCCGAUUACACCUUUCUCCGCACCUUUGGGUGCGCCUGCUGGCCUAGCUUGCGCAAAUAUAACACUCACAAACUUGUUUUCCGGUCCACUAUGUGUGUGUUCUUAGGUUAUAGCCAGCUGCAUAAGGGGUACAAAUGUCUCGACCGCUCCACGGGUCGUAUCUACAUCUCCCGUGAUGUUGUGUUUGAUGAGUCUGUGUUUCCAUAUGCCACACCUAGGGUCACCGUCGAUAUAUCCUCCUUGGCUGAUGGUCUCUCGUUUCCUUUCAAUGAGCCGGUUACGGGUGACCAUAUGCGUAAAUACGACUUAUCCUACCUGUCUACUGAUCCGCCUGUUCCAGGCCAUAUUGCUUCUGUGCAGGCAUACCAUGACGCCGCUCCUCCCUCCUCGGCGAUCGACGUGCAUGGCGCAUGCACGUCGCCCGGCUCGUCGGCUGCCUCGUCGCCCGGCCCAUCUUCCGCGACGCCCCCGCCCUCUGCAGGCCGCUCGGCUGGUCAGCCCGCUGCGGACGCGCCGACCUCCCCGGUGAUCGACGUGCAUGGCACAUGCACGUCCCCAGCCCAGCGAUCGCGCUGGCCUCCCCUGGCCCAUCAUCAGCGCCAGCGCCGGCCACUUCAUCGCCUGUUGCCACGUCGUUCUCAAUGCAGGAGGCUGCUGCUCCCUCCUCGCCGUCCGAUCAGCUCGCGUCGCCUUCUGUUGAGGGCAGCCCUGUCCCCUCAACCGCGAUGCCUCCAGCUGCUCCAGGCCACACCAUGGUCACGCGCACUCGCGAUCAUACUCGUCGUGCGCUUGUUCCCACUGAUGGAACUGUCCGCUACGACCCUCGCCGCCGUGCUUUUCAUGCUAUGCCCGUCUCUCAUCGCGAUGCCCUCCGUGAGCAUGCUUGGCGCACCGCCAUGAUGGAUGAGCUGGACGCUCUGCGUCGCAACAGGACUUGGGUUCUUGUGCCUCGUCCGCGUGAUGUUAAUGUCGUUGGGAGCAAGUGGAUUUUCAAGACCAAGCAUCAUCUGGAUGGCUCCAUUGACAAGCAUAAAGCUCGUCUGGUCGCGCGUGGUUUCACCCAACGGCUUGGCAUUGACUAUGGUGAUACGUUCAGUCCGGUUGUCAAGCUAGCCACCGUUCGCCUGGUUCUUGCUCUAGCUGUGUCUCGCGGAUGGAUUCUUCGUCAGAUUGAUGUCAGCAACACUUUCCUUCAUGGUUACUUGUUUGAGGAUGUCUACAUGCAGCAGCCACCAGGCUUUGAGGACGCUCGGUAUCCCUCUCAUGUGUGCAAGUUGCAGCGGGCUCUCUAUGGACUCAAACAGUCCCCUCGCGCAUGGUAUGCUCGGCUCAGUUCUCGUCUUCUCCAGUUGGGGUUUGUUCCCUCUCGCGCCAACGCCUCUCUAUUUUUCUUCCGCCAUCAGGAUGUUCAGAUAUACAUGCUUGUCUACGUGGAUGAUAUUGUUAUUGCUGGCUCUUCUCCACGUGCAGUUGACGGUCUUGUUCAUUCACUUGCGGCCACCUUUCCUAUUAAGGACCUUGGGCCGUUGGAGUACUUUCUUGGCUUGGAAGCGUCGUACAAUUCAGGGGGUAUGACCUUGACACAACGGAAGUAUGCCUUGGAUCUUUUACACCGUGUGAACAUGGAGAAUUGUAAGUCCACUUCCAUACCGUUGUCUACCUCCGACCAGCUUGCACGGGUGUCUGGACAGCCUCUCGAUGCCGAUGAUUCUUUCCGGUAUCGCAGUGUCGUUGGUGGAUUGCAGUAUUUGACUCUCACUCGCCCAGACAUUUCAUUUGCAGUGAACAAGGUAUGCCAGUUUCUCUCACAGCCCACUGAUGUUCAUUGGGAAGCUGUUAAGCGCAUCCUGCGCUAUGUAAAGGGAACAUUGCAAACUGGACUGAAGUUUCGGAAGGCUGUCUCCAACAACAUUAGUAUUUUCACUAACGCAGACUGGGCCAGGUGUCCUGAUGAUCGACGAUCCACUGGAGGCUUUGCCAUCUUUGUUGGCCCAAAUCUCAUCUCCUGGAGCUCUAAGAAGCAACCGACGGUUUCGAGAUCUAGUACGGAGGCUGAGUACAAGGCUCUGGCAAAUGGAGCUGCUGAGGCCAUUUGGGUAGAAUCACUACUCAAGGAGCUUGGUGGUUCCCAGCAGCGUGUUCCUGUUCUAUGGUGUGAUAAUUUAGGAGCCACAUAUCUGACUGCCAACCCAGUUUUUCAUGCACGCACCAAGCACAUUGAGAUUGAUUUCCACUUUGUGCGUGAGCGUGUUGCUUCUGGAGCUCUUGAUGUCAGGUUCAUUUCUUCUAAUGAUCAACUGGCUGACGUGUUUACCAAACCAGCCACUCGACAGAUGCUAGACCGUUUUAGUACCAAUCUAAACCUUGUACAGAGUAGAAGUUCAGAUUGAGGGGGUAUGUUAAAAUAGGUCUAGCGUGUCAUGUACACGUAUUAUGUACAUAUGUAACUUGUAUGCUGAUCAUAUAUAUAUAGAAGGACGUGGAGAGGCAUUGCCCCACGGAAAACCCUAAACCUAUUCUCAAACUCAGACUGUCAUUAAGUUUGCGUCAAAUUUAUUGUUUCAUUUUGGAACAGUGUACUUUCAUGAGUAUUUUUCUAACGAGUACAUAUAAUACUUGAACAGAUAAUCUUACAAAAUGGAAGUACCGAGGAAUUAAUAUAUAGAAGUUACGACCGUUGUUUAGGGUGAUCUCUGAAGAUGGAUUGCAGGUAAGCAAAUUAAUAAUUUAGUACUGAUCUUGUUUCUGUUGACACUUCAUUUUACUCAAUCUUUCGUAUUAACCAUAAGCUUACAGGAUACCAUGUUGGAAUCAUGUUCUCCUUUGAUUUGUGUUCUCUUUGAUUUAUGUUGGUUGUUAUGGAAUCAUGAUUUUUUCUUUUUAAUUUUUACACUUUUUAAAGCAUAGUGAAUUUUGUGAUUGUAAGAUUUUUGUGGUGUUGCCAUGAAACUAGAAUAAUUUACUGAAAUUGUUCGGUAGUGCAGUUUUAUGGUAUUCAGUGGCUUAGCCUUCAGUUAAAUCAUACAUUAUGUAAACAAUAAACAUAGAACUUUUGAAUUUUUGGAUAGGUGGAAAACUCUGUGCCCUACAUCCCACACACAGGGUGCUAAAAAAUGUCCUCUCCCCGCUGCACCUCUCCUCUUCUUUGCUCACUCCUCUUGGUAACUCUAAGAAGAUUUUAAUCUGUUUUGUUUAUAUGCACAUACGGUCUUUGUGAUUAGGGGUCAAAUGUUUGGUUAACUUAUGGACUGAUUGGAAUGAUUAGAAAAAUACGAAUCACAUCACAGGAAGCCGUAAUAUACAGUUUUACCUUCAGCUUAAAUAAAUACACAUUGUUCAGUUCAUAUUUGACUCCAAUAGUUGUACUUCCAUAUAACAGACUUGUCCAAGUUAAACCACAAGAAUGUCAUGGGCUUGCUUGGCUACCACGGAGAAGGGCAUUCUUUCACCGGCGCUGUCGAUUGCUAGCAAACUGUCGAUUGUGUCGUUGAUUGAUAUGCAGACUUGCUGUUUUUCGUUCAGUUUAAGGGCUCUCUAGGCUUAAGAUCUUUCUAGGAUAAUUGCGUCAUUGAAUCUAAAGGUAUAUGAUCGGUUUCUCAGCUCAUGCAUCGAUAUGCAUUUGUUUCUUGCCUGACUUGUCCUACAUUUGUGAGGUUGUUGAGGAAGUUCAGUUCUUGCAGGAGGCGCAAAACUUGAGUUGCCUACAUAUGAGUUUGCCAGUUCGCCGAAACUUAGAAUAAAGAAGGGAACUUUCUCAGUUUUGUUGUUUUUGCUCUUCUCAGAUUUUAGGCUGGGUGUAUUAACAUAUAUGCCACACACUAAAUUUAGAUCUCAGUGCAAGUUUAAAUAGGGAUGAAUCACUGUGCCAUGUUGAAAAAUUAGAACUACAGAGAAGAAAGGAAAUUAUUAAAGAAGGGAUAUAGUUGAUUAGGUUGUUGUGGUGUUUCUUUGUAAAUAACAACAUUCUAACUUGCUAAUCUAGGUAUGUGGGAUAUAGGAGAUACAAGGAGAGAUAUUUCAGUUGCAAUCGAGCUUUAUUUCAAAGUGAAACAUGGUAGACAUGCAUAGCAUGCUGGUGUUUUACUCUAUGCUUCUGGGCCGCCAUGGUGUCAAUUUUGAACUUGCAAAACGAACUGUAAAAUAUUUUAAUGCCUUGGGGCAUGAAGUUCUCUUUACCUGCUCUGACUGCUUCAUCUCUGUUUAUGUAGCAGGUUCUACGAUCUCCUGUGUUGCUGCAUCUUGGUCUUCUGUUGCUUGAGGUUUGCUUCCUUUUUUCUAGACACAUGCGUAUUCUUUCUAGCUACAUCCAUGAUUUCCUUUUGCUCACGGAAUAAUAGUUUAGUUAUAUUGAUU